UUAGAUUAUGGCAUUAGCCAAUCAGAACUCUUGUUAUAUUUGCCACAUGGUGCGAAACUGGUUUGUUUGGAAAAAAUGGCUGCCGCCAUGAUGGUGCCUUUUUUGACAUCUUCUGCAAGUUUAUGUGACGACCUGUUUAAAGUUUAACAGUGACACGCGCCAGUUCAUGUGUCAACGAGCGCAAAUUGUGAACGAUGGCUUGGAAAAAAUUCAGUUCAGAGUUCAAAGCGCCACCUUGCAACAAACAGCGCCAUGGAAACAGCUGUGGAGUGUUUGCAUUGAUGACUGCCAAAUGUUUGGUCAUGAAAAAGCAUCCCACAAUGUUGCGACAGGCCCAUGAUUCAGUUUAUCGAGACUAGUCGUGAGACGCAGACUUCUGAUUCAUGGAGUGCGGCAAACAUAUCUGUGCGACUCGAUCACUCCACUGUAAAGACCCGCACAGCAUUAAAAUGGAUAUUAUCAAUAUGUGUUGUUGCUCGAAAAUAUGUUUUUGUAGCAGGAAGUGCUUUGGGCUCGAUUAAUCUGAGAACUCAACAAAAUAUUAAUAAAAUCCUUCUGUGCCUUUUAGUUCUGAAAACAGAAGUAGCCAGUUGGUAUUACACAUCUCCUAAACAAGUACAGCACAAUAAAACUGAAGGUUUUAAAUCCUACAUUUUUAUAACAUCUUUAUAUCCACACAAAAAUAUUGAUGAUUGUGGUGCUCAGAUUGCAAAACCACCUGUUUGGCAAAAAUAAUGCAGAUGGUUAGAUUAUGAUAAGUGCAAGAAAAAAAGAAUAACUCUGGAGAUAAUAAUUGAUAUGAUAAUCAUUGCUUGACAGAAUCACAAUUGACCUAGAUAUUUAUUUAUGUAGUGGUGUAUUUUUCAAUGAGUGCCUUAAGAUUCCAAAAACAUAUUGACUUAAAAUAAAUAAUCCCGAUGGCGUAAA
Dreissena polymorpha is the source of this 927-nucleotide long non-coding RNA. RefSeq lists it as uncharacterized. The transcript is spliced from 3 exons. Lineage: Eukaryota; Metazoa; Mollusca; Bivalvia; Myida; Dreissenidae. The record is from RefSeq and is a predicted model, not a curated record.